UUCCGGUUGAUCCUGCCGGACCCGACUGCUAUCAGAGUGAGAUUUAGCCAUGCGAGUUAACGUAGCAAUACGUGGCGCACGGCUCAGUAACACGUAGUCAACAUGCCCAGAGGACGUGGAUAACCUCGGGAAACUGAGUCUAAACCGCGAUAAGUGAGGAUUUCUGGAAUGGUUCCUGACUAAAAUCUAUAUGGCCUCUGGAUUGGACUGCGGCCGAUCAGGCUGUUGGUGAGGUAAUGGCCCACCAAACCUGUAACCGGUACGGGCUCUGAGAGGAGGAGCCCGGAGAUGGGCACUGAGACAAGGGCCCAGGCCCUAUGGGGCGCAGCAGGCGCGAAACCUCUGCAAUAGGCGAAAGCCUGACAGGGUUACUCUGAGUGACUUUCGCUAAGAAAGUCUUUUGGCACCUCUAAAAAGGGUGCAGAAUAAGGGGUAGGCAAGUCUGGUGUCAGCCGCCGCGGUAAUACCAGCACCCCGAGUGGUCGGGACGAUUAUUGGGCCUAAAGCAUCCGUAGCCGGUUCUGCAAGUCCCCCGUUAAAUCCAGCUGCUCAACAGAUGGGCCGCGGAGGAUACUACAGAGCUAGGAGGCAGGAGAGGCAAGCGGUACUCAGUGGGUAGGGGUAAAAUCCGUUGAUCCAUUGAAGACCACCAGUGGCGAAGGCGGCUUGCCAGAAUGCGCUCGACGGUGAGGGAUGAAAGCUGGGGGAGCAAACCGGAUUAGAUACCCGGGUAGUCCCAG
RNAcentral lists this ribosomal RNA (740 nucleotides) under uncultured archaeon. Its description in RNAcentral is "bacterial SSU rRNA". It matches the Rfam family "Archaeal small subunit ribosomal RNA", at positions 1 to 750 of the family's 1478-position model. The record is from RNAcentral.